RNAcentral lists this ribosomal RNA (483 nucleotides) under uncultured bacterium. Its description in RNAcentral is "partial 16S ribosomal RNA". It matches the Rfam family "Bacterial small subunit ribosomal RNA", at positions 29 to 523 of the family's 1533-position model. The record is from RNAcentral.
AGUGAACGCUGGCGGCGUGCUUAACACAUGCAAGUCGAACGAGAACGGAUUAUAGCUUGCUAUAAUUGUCAGCUAAGUGGCGCACGGGUGAGUAAUGUAUAGGUAAUAUGCCUCUUACUAAGGGAUAACAAAUGGAAACGUUUGCUAAUACCUUAUACUCCUUAUUAACAUAAGUUAAUAAGGGAAAGAUUUAUUGGUAAGAGAUUAGCCUGUAUUGUAUCAGUUAGUUGGUGGGGUAAUGGCUUACCAAGACUAUGACACAUAACUGGUUUGAGAGGAUGAUCAGUCACACUGGAACUGAGACACGGUCCAGACUCCUACGGGAGGCAGCAGUGGGGAAUAUUGCACAAUGGACGGAAGUCUGAUGCAGCAACGCCGCGUGGAGGAUGACACAUUUCGGUGCGUUAACUCCUUUUAUAUGAGAAGAUAAUGACGGUAUUAUAUGAAUAAGCACCGGCUAACUCCGUGCCAGCAGCGCCGUAA